Actinia tenebrosa (Australian red waratah sea anemone) is the source of this 1399-nucleotide long non-coding RNA. The record is from RefSeq and is a predicted model, not a curated record. NCBI's taxonomy places the organism in Eukaryota, Metazoa, Cnidaria, Anthozoa, Actiniaria, Actiniidae.
UUUAAUAAAGUUCUGCCCUUAAUAAAUUUUUAAUGAUUGACUAGCUAUCACUGAUCAGCUUACAUAUUUUAAAAUCAUUAACAUAAAUAUUUCAAAUAUUGUUUUAAUAACUGGGCAAAUGUGUCAAUGAUGCAAAAAUGAACUCUACACAAAAUAAGCAACCCUUCUCUUCCCACAAUUUCAAAUUCCUCAUUGGGGCAUUUGAUUAGGACUAUGAUGCAUGAUGCUUGUUUCUUAAACAAUAGUUUAUAAUAAUAUAUUACACUGGGYUUUUGAGCUUAUGGCAUAUUUUAUAGUUUAACAUCCUCGUUUAUGGACUAAUUUACUUUCAACUUACUGUCACCUCAUGGUAAAUUUUCUGAUAUACUCUAGCAAACCCAUAUAUUACAGACAAUAAAGUAAAUUCUUUACAACAUUUGCAACAUAGGUCCCUUAGUGCCAUGUUCGUAGAGCCAGAAAACUUCCUCUUUUGGUGCUCACAAAGCCUGGUACCUUAAAGACCAAAGACAGUAAGUCUCUAUUCUUCUUCUUCUUCUUCCUUUUUUUUUUCCGAAUGCGAUGCAUCUUUUAUCCACAUUUCCUUUUUUUUUUUGCAUUAAAUUAUAUAUUUAGAUCAUUGAAAAGAAAGAAAAUUAUAUUUAAUUGGUCAAAUAAAUAAAGCCAAAUAUAAGUUGCAAUGAAAGGAAUGCCUAAAGCGUAAAUAAACCGUAUAGUUUCCUAUUUAGACCCUAGUCAUGUUUUGUGUCAGUUUUAUGUAUUCAACGAACAUGGGGGAAAAUUAGAUAAUAGCAAACUGCAGUGUACAAASAACGAUUACAACAAUUUUCAACCCGGUCAUAUAUUAGAUGGUACAUGAAAUUGCUUCACAGUAAAAUGUGCUGCUUUAAGUAUUUAAACCAAGACACUAAGGUCUUUUCUCUCUUUUGGAAUUUUGCUGCCAAUAAUCAAUGUUAAAGCCAAUGUUGUAUUUUACCAGUGUUGGUUUUGAAACGUGCCUUCUAGAAGUUACAUGCUGUGAUGGAGUAUGACAAAUAAGGAUAGAUUAGUUUGUAAUAGAGCUGUUUAAGAUAUUUUAAACAAAGAUAAUGUCCUAAUUUUAAGAAAAGGCUAGCGUCUCUGGAACAAAUGUAUGCUAUGCUGCGUUUCUACAUUAAAUUAAUUCAAUUAAUGAUAUUUAUUUUGGUCCUGCAGUCCUCGCAAGAUUUUCCAAGAAAGGGGCUGAAGGAUUAUCUUUUGCUUUYCUGAAGAAAACAAACUCGUUGUUGUAAAAUCACUAAACAACUACAACACAGAGCAACACAACACUGGUUUGGAAUAUGCAAAGGAGAUUCUGGAAACAUACAGAGUGAACCAGUUGUUGAGGUUGAAAUACACAAAUACACUAUCAAGUGUACAUCAC